Mus musculus (house mouse) is the source of this 26980-nucleotide long non-coding RNA. RefSeq annotates it as RIKEN cDNA 9330159H11 gene. The record is from RefSeq and is a predicted model, not a curated record. Lineage: Eukaryota; Metazoa; Chordata; Mammalia; Rodentia; Muridae. The transcript has 2 exons.
UUCUUUCUAUUGGGUAAUUGAGUCCAUUGAUGUUGAGAGAGAGUAACGACCAGUGAUUAUUAUUUCCUGUUAUUUUAAUAUUGGUAAUGCUAGUGGGGAGGGGCAUGCAUGUGUAUGUGAGUGUGUGUAUGUGUGUGUACUUUCCUGUCUUUGCUCCUGUGGAAUUACUUAUUUUCUGAGUUUUCUUGGAUGCAUUUAGGACUCAUUAGGUUGGGGUUUUCCUUCUAGUAUUUUCUAUAGGGCUAGAUUUGUAGAUAGAUAUUGUUUGAAUUUGGAUUUCUCUUGAAAUAUCUUGUUUUUUCCAUAUAUGGUGAUUGAGAGUUUUGCUAGUUAUAGUAGUCUGGGUUGUUACCUGUGCUUUUUUAGAAAUUGAAAGAUAUCUGUCCAGACCCUUCUAGCUUUUAGAGUCUCUGUUGAGAAGUCAGAUAUAAUUCUGAUAGGUCUGCCUUUGUAUAUUAUCUGGCCUUUUUCCCUUGCUGCUUUUAAUAUUCUUUGUUCUAUGGAUUUUGUGGUUUGAUUAUUAUAUGCCGGGAUGGUUUUCUUUUCUGGACUACUCCACAUUGUGUUUUAUAAGCUUUUUAUAAGUUUAUAGGCCUCUCUUUCUUUAAGUUGGGAAAGUUUUCUUCUAUGAUUUUAUUGAAAAUGUUUUCUGGGCCUUGGAACUGGGACUCUUCACCUUUUUCAAUUCCUAUUAUGCUCAUGUUAGGACUUUUCAUGGUAUUCCAGAUUUCCUGAAUGUUUAGUGUCAUGUGUUUUUUUAGAUUUAACAUUUUCUUUCACUGUUGUGUCUUCUAUUCCUGAGAUUCUCUCUUUCAUCUCCUGUCGGUGAUUCUUGAACCUGUAGUUCAAGUUAUCUUCCCUAGGCUCCAGGAUUCCCUCAGUUUGUGUUUUCUUUAUUGCUUCUAUUUCCACUUUCAGAUCUUGCACUGUUUUAUUUAUUACCUUCACUGUUUAGUUGUAUUUUCCUGUGUAUUUUCCAGGGAUUUGUUUCUUCUUCAAAGACUUCUAUCUAUUUGACUAUAUGUUCCUGUAUUUCUUUAAGGGAUUUAUUCAUGUCCUCUUUAAAGGCUUUUAUCUUCUUUACAAGAUGAUUGAAUUUAAGGUCAAUAUUUAUUUAUUUAUUUAUUUAUUUAUUUAUUUAUUUAGGUUUUAGUCGAGACAGGGUUUCUCUGUGUAGCCCUGGGUGUCCUGGAACUCACUCUGUAGACCAGGCUGGCCUCGAACUCAGAAAUCCGCCUGCCUCUGCCUCCCGAUUGCUGGAAUUAAAGGCGUGCACCGCUACUGCCCAGCAAAGGUCAAUUUCUUGUGCUUCAGUUGUGUUAGGAUAUACAGAGCUUUCUGCAGUAGGGCAGUUGUGCUCUGGGGGUGUCACCUUGCCCUGAUUUUUGUUUACUGUGUUCCUUUGAGGGUCUUUAGGUAUCUGGAUGACUUUGGUCCCUGGAUGUUCCUGUUGUAAUAGUUAUUGGGAGUGGGGUUUUAACCUUGUUGGUCCUGGAAUGGCAGGCCUCUGAUGGGAUCCUUGAUGGUAUAGUUAUAUAUCAGCAGGUCUAUAUGGUUCAGGAUCCACAAUUCUGAUUAAGGUGGGCAGAAAGGUGACAGGAGAAUGGUGGUCCCCCCUGGGAUGGCAGGCUGCUCAAGGCAGUUUGGUGUGCCUCAGAUGAAGAUUAUAUGUGGUAGUUUUAAUGAUAAUGAACUAUCACACCAUUACUGAUGGGAAAAAAGAUAUUGAGCUUCACAAAUUACUGCUUAUGCCAUUAACUAUGAUAUAUUCAUAGGUCUAUUAUGCAGUUUUUGAAAUUAAGAGGAGUUAAUUCUACAAAUAUUAAGUUAUUCCUUGAACAUUUCUAAUGGCCUGUUAAAUAAUUAACUUCAAUCUGAAAGGCACAUUUGACCUUUGCUUAGCUUUUUUUUUUUAAUUUCCAGAGCAGUUAAUGGAAUUUAUGUAGUAUUCUAGACUGUUUUAAGUGGGAAUCCAAAGCAUGUGCAGGAAAGCAUGCUCAGAAGGACAUUUGAGAUGACAUUUAAUUGACGGCUGUUGUGGUGUGCUUUCUUCAUCUCUCACAAAUGCAUUUAGGCUUACAAUUCCUCAUUGUAUCAGUCUUAUGACAUUAUAGAGAGGAAGUUAUUAGAUUUCGUUCCUAUUAAUAUGAACAUUAAAUAACUGGUCUAAAAUUUUUAAUUCACAUGGUGCUUAGGUUUUUAUCAAGUACCAUGGAAAUUGUCUUAAUUUUGCAAGAUGCAAAAUUAAUCUAUGUACCAUUUCAUAUAAUGAAGGGAUAUCUGGAAUACUAAUUAAAUAGAACAUUUUCCUUCCAAAACAUAAAUGAAGAAUAAUUUUAUACUCAAAGAAACCCAGAAUGAUAUAUGGAAGCUAUUAAGAUAAACCAAUUUUUAAUUUGUGAGUUAAAUACUAAAGGAAACUUUUAAGGACACAGCUUCCAAAAUGUAAGAAAACCUAGGGUCCUCUUAGGUAUGCAUCUACCUUGAGAUAUAGAGGUGGGCAGAGUUCCUCUGUGCACUGGCUUAUACUAUAACACAAAAGAAAAGACACAAACAAAAAUGUUCACAUGGAAGAGGUCUACCAUGGUCACCCCUUUCCUCUUUAGAACAUAGAGAUGCCACAGGGUAGCACAAAAGACAGAAGCAUAUUGACCUUGCCUCAAAUUAGGGAAAGAGAUCAUAGACAGAUCUCUUAUCAAGGGGAGAUAUGGACAAAAUCUUUAUUACAAAAUGUGGUUUUCUCACACUGCUCCUAAGCCAUGCUUUUUCAUCCUGUUAUUCAUGUUGCCUUUUCGAUCAUGAACCAUCGCAUAGACAGUAGCAUGGAUUCUUUGUCUUGAGGUAUUGACUCAUCUCUCUGGUUAGCACUUAGGUUGGCUCUUCUAUGUAAUUUUCACACUGCUUUACAACUGUGCAUAAAACAUGAUGGUGUUCUCUGAGUGACAGUCAUGAAUCUUUAGUAUUGUGGGAGUUUAGAGGUUUACAAUUCACAUUGCCAUAUAAAUCCAGGAAGAUGUUAAAUUCAACUACCAAAAUGAAGUGGCACAAAACAGAAACAGUUAUACCUGUCCACAUAUGUAUAUAACAUUGGCAGAAAAUGGAGAAGCUGAUAUUUUACAGAUUAGAUGUGAGGAAGGCUGAUAGGCUCCUGAUCUUUUAGCUUCUAUGUCACUUUAAACACCCACAUGUAAUGAUCUGAGAGAACUAAGUUGAUCCAAAAGAGAUUUCUUCUAGGUCUGGAUUGAGAAUAAGAACGUGAGUGUGUAGUCUGAUGAAGAACCUCUAAGUUCCGAAAACUAAACAGUCAGCAGAUAUGGGGCAGCCUUUACCAGGUGAAAUGGCUCUUACAUUCUUAUAAAUAUAUCAUUCUUUGCAGUUACUUAAGCACAAUUUCUGUCCUCAUUUCUUCAUUCCUGCUGAGUAAGCUUGAAAAAGCACAAGCCCAGAUACUGGUGCCUUUUUGCCUUUCAGGACUCAGAUCUGCCGAGCAUAUGUCCCAUAGAUGGGAGUGAAUUACAGUCACAAUGAGAGUAAUAUGGUAUGGAAGCUCAUUUCCUUUUCCUGACCUGGCAUUUUGUACAAAAAGUCCUUAUUAAUCAUCAUAGCUUUUAUUGAAACAGUCUAAUGGUAUUCACAUGGUGAGGGAAAAAAUGAUAGUUUGAAUAGCCCAGCAAAUUUCUACUGGAGGGCUUUGUACUGCUUUCUCUAGUCACUGCUAGGGAAACUGGAAUCAUUCUGAAUAGAAGAACCCUGUCUCUUCUCCAAUGAGUAGGAGUGUCAUCUCAGGAGUGUGGUCUAUGUUCUUCAUUCUUUCUGUAUGCUCACAUCAAGUGGCAUAGUUUCAGUAUACAGGACCAAGUGUUUUCAAUGGAAAACUAGAGACCCACAAUAGCCGUGAUUCUACCCAUUAUUUCCUGGAUUCUGAAAAUAAUAGCUGAGAUAAAUGACAAAAACUUUACAAUGCUAAAAUUAUAAAUUAACCUCUAUGAUAGAUUCAUUAGGCCCAUCCUUUGUAAUUGUAUGAAGUUAAUUAAGAUAAUGUUUCCUUAUGUUUCCACUAAACUUUGAAAACUUCAGAAAUCAUGCAAAUUACCAGUGAUAAAAUCAUUAUUCAUGGUUAUAGCUUGAGUGUGUGCUUUUCCAUAUUUAACUUUUUUAUCUCCCCCAAGUGCAGAGCUAACUCAAGGAUCUAUUGGAAGAGUAGAUGAUUUUACUCUACUGUAUGUUAAUUUUUCUUCAUGGGGGAAUGUUAAUUCCUAUUUCUAUCUAUUCUUAAUAUUUUCAUCCAGAAUAAUGCUGUGAAAUAUUAGAAUAAAACAGACAACAUGGUUAAAAUUUAGGCAUGAUAUUAAUGACUUGAUAAAUAAACGAUGAGCCAAAAGGACAUAUUCCUGAGUGAGAUGACAGGUGCCUACAAAUUUGAAGAUGUAGCUUUGAUCAGUUCUGGGUCCCAGACUGUGGACUGGUACCACCAGAUAUUAGCACCAAUUUUCUCUAUUUAAUGAAUCAAAGCUCCCCAUCACAGAUAUUUCCAGGGUGGGGUAAUGGGACUUUUAGUUGACUACCAAAGUAAAGGACUAAGUUUAUUAUAGUACAGCAAUUGGGGACUAUGAUUUUAGGACUACAGUUUGAAAACUAUUAGCCCUGAAAAAUUGGCCAUUAACUAAUAAAUAUCUAGCCUGUUAUUUUAGGUGUAUGCUUUAGAUAUGAUUUAGAGAGUGUUUACCACUAUUUUUGGUGAUAACAUGUUUUAAGACGUCAUAAUAUGUACUCACCUUUUUUAUUGGAACCUCAAAUACUGAGGUUCAUUUCGCAAAUAAUGACUGUGAGAAAUAUAUAUUUGCAUAGCUUCGAUCAAUGGUGUAUUGAAAAUAAUAGGUACAGUGAGCACUAGGAAUGGAUUUUUAAAUAUAAAUGUAAAUGAGAUAAAGUAAUCAUCCUAUAAACUGGCUUAUCUGUAUCUAUAUGAUGGUGGACAUUUAUGUGAGUGUGUUGCUAUUCUUUGCAAUAGUUUCAUAUAUUGGAAAACAACAACAAAAAGAGCCAGGAAGCUAAGUACCAGCACUCAUCCCUUUCUGCCCGCUGACUGUGAUGCGCGCUCAAGCUCCUGCUCCCUCAUCCCUUUCUGCCCGCUGACUGUGAUGCGCGCUCAAGCUCCUGCUCCCAUCAUUUCCCCACCACGAUGGCUUGAAGCCUUGAAAGGAGACCCAACAUAAGUCCUUCCUUCCCCACUUAAGUUACUUUGGUUAGAUAUUUUCUCGUGGUAAUAAAUAAAAUAAUAUUAACCAAAAUAUCUCAGACUGACAAAAUAGUAUUACAUGUUCUGUCUCCUUUGAGUAUCUUUGAUUUUAUAUAAAUACAUAUAUGCACAUAUACACAAAAUAUCAUAUGAAAGUAUAAAUGGGAGUUUCUUGGGGAAGGAAGGAGACUAACAGGAAGUGAUAGGACAUUGUUCGAGUACACGAUAUAUUUAAAUGAAAAGACAUUUUAUGCAACUAGUCACUGUGUACGUCAAAUAUAUUGUGAUAAAAAUAAAGGGGCAGUAACAGCAAGAUGAAAGUUGUAUGCUUGUGUGUGCAUCCAUGCUUUGUGUGAUUGAGGCCGUGCGGUGACAGUAGGCGUGGGAGGAUGUCUGAAACUUAACAUUUCAAGAUGUUUAAAAUGUAAAGAAGAAUGGAGUGUUUUCAAGAAAAAUUUACUUAGCCCUGCAAUACUAUAUUUACCAGGUACAGAAAUUUAACGGCUGUUAGGGUUAUAUUAUUUUCUAUAUCUUUACUUCUUUCUCACUAGUGCAUUCUCUGUCUAUUACGCCUUUAUACAUUAGGCAUUGGAACCAUGGUAUAAGGUACCUGUUCCUUCUUCUGAGUAUAUUCAAACAUGUUAAACUAGCAUAAAAUACAAAUUUGUUUUUUUCUAUAUCUUGAGAACUAUACAUUUUGAAUCAGUUUUUGUACAUCCUAAUGAAACAUUAUAAUUUUUCAAAUAUUUUUAUUUGAAUUAGGGAAAAUCAUUAUACUAAUAAAAUGACAUUUAGAACAAGCAGUUACUAGAAACAAAGAUAAUGUUGUUAUCAAUCAGUUGUUCCUUUUAGACUUACAGAGAUUUGAGACAUUCAAAUAUAUCAUUCUAUUUGAUCUAUAAACUCCAAAGCAUAACCAACAUAUUCUAGACAUCUAGAUGAGGCAUUCGAGAUACAAAUAUGAGAAGUAUAAUGUAAUAUUAUUUUGAAAUCUUGUUUUGAACUAGGCACUGUUCAAGUAUGGAAUUACAGAAGCAAAGUUCAUCAAAACAAUAAAUGAUUUCUCAUCGUACAAUUUCUACCUUACUUUGAAAUACCAAAUUUUUAAAUUUACUACUAUGCUAAUUGGUGGUGAGUGAUCUAUAUAUCUCUAAAUGGUUCCUUAUGAAGACUGACACUAGAAAGCAGGAGACAACUGUGUCUAUGAGAGAAAAUGUCCCUUAAGUGAAAAUAUGUGAGGGAUAGGGACAGGAAGUGGGCAAGGCUUGGGCUUGGUAUGUUCGUGGACAUUGCAAGAACAAAAGUAGGAAAAGAAAGUGAGCAAAUUAAGUUAGAACUGACAAAAGCAAGAGCCAGAGCAAGGCAUUCAGAGUAUCCUUAGAAGCUGAAGAGCAAAGUGUGGCCUAGCAGUCAUAAAGUUCAGUUUACUGACCUUAAAGAAUCAGUAAAGGAAUUGGAGCAAUAACCAAAUGUCUCAAGCCUAGAAGAAAAUAGGAAGAUUCGAUUGAGACAAGGGACAUAGAACAAGAAAUAGGUAGCCUUUAAAAUAUGAGAUACGACAGCAUUUUUGAAUGUUCAUGAGAAUGAGCUAACACAAAGAGAACUUAUUACUUAAUGAAGAGAUUCAUCUUUUCUACAGUAAAAUUCCUGAAUUGCAGACAGGAUAUGUAAUCUAAGCAAGCCCCAGAAGAACCACAAAGUCUGGUGGGUAAAGAGUUAACUUGCCAACCAUAAAAAGGAGAGAGAACAGGGCAAAGGUCACAGGAAGAUGGGCUAGCAGUGCUGGUGGUCAGAGAACUGAGGCAUCACAGGACAUCAUGUGCAGCACUUUUUGUUUGUUUGUUUGUUUGUUUUGCUUGAUUUUUCUGAAAGUUGAUAAUAUGUGAAGUAGAUACUUAAGAGGUAGUGGAGAAAAAUAAGUUUGUGAUAACUGUCGUUAUCUGUAAUGAACAGUUGAAAGCAUUAAAUGGGUCUGAAUUGCAUAUCGUAUUUUCUCAGUUGGAUCAUUUUGCAAAAAUGAAAAAGUCAUAAAGAGUUUCAUGGCAGGAGUUAGACAAUGGAGUUAUACAGCUAAAGUUUCUGCUGUGUUCUGUGUCUUUUUUUGUUUGUUCGUUUUUGUUUGUUUGUUUUUUGAGACAGGAUUUCUCUGGGUAGCCUUUCUGUUCUGAAACUCACUCUGUAGACCAGGCUGGCCUUGUACUCAGAAAUCUGCCUGCCUCUGCCUCCCAAGUGCUGGGUUAAAGGCGUGUUCCACCACUGCCUGGCCUGUCUGGUUCUUUUACAUCCACCCAUCAGAAGGGUUUUUUCUUUUUUUUAAUUACAAACAUAUGUGUUAUCUUCAUUGUAUUUUAAAUCUGUAACCUAAUGAUUUCUGUAGAAAUAAUUUCUAAGACUAAAAAUGCCAUGACCCAGGAGUUCCUUGACUGUUUUUCAAGUGGUACAAUCAUUGGUCAUGAGCUCCAAGAAUAGCUGUUGUCAUCAGGCCAAGUCAACCCUUUGAUAUUUUCAUUUCAUAAUUUCAGUCUACCGGGAGACAACAGAACAAGGCAAUUCUAAAUGUAAGGACCUCAAAAAUGAUUCACACCAUCCCACAUUAUCAAAGAUGAAAAGCGUACAGAAGGAAAACUGACUCAAUAUUCAAUAUCAACAUCUUCAGUGCAAAGAAUGGAAAGCCCCAUCUCUUCUACCCCUCUGUACCAACACCAGCCAUUUAGCAGUUAUUUAUGGUAAAUAAUCUGUUUGAAACACUUCCCCUAUUUUUGAGGACUACUAAUUACUACUGGCCCCCUUUUAAAUCUAUUACAUUCUCACUAUGAGUAAAAUAACUUCCCUGAAAUAGAGUAUUGGUCAUGAGAUUAGCUGUGGAGGUGAUCAAAACAGUAAAGUGGGAAACAGGUAUCCAAACUCAGGCAGGUGUUUUGCAUUGCACACUGGAAUAUCUAUGGCUCACCAUAUCCCAGUGUACACUCUCUUUUGCGGUUGAGAAGAAAUGUUCCAAAGUCUCUAAACAUUAUUAGGAGAGGAAACUCUCUUUAUCCUGUUUUGAUCUGAGAAAUAUGUGUGCUUGUGUUGAAAUAUUAAACUGAACCCCAUUAAAAUGUAUAUAUUUGAAGCUAACUAAAAAGUAAAGAUAAACUAUGAAAAGACUAUGUGGUGGCAAGCUUUACAUGAGAAGUAGUAUAUUAGAAAUUUACCUGGAUUGUGUGGAACAUAAAUUUAAGUUGUUAGGCUUGAUCAUAAAAUUUAGAUGGUAAACUUAACAAAAUUUUCUCGAGAGGAAAAUGUUCCAGGAAAUGCAGACUUGAAAUGAUUCUGAAUAGAUCUGCUGUACAAUGCCUAGAUCUCAUUCAAAGGUUUGGUUAGGUUUCAGGGUUUGUGUCUCCAUUUGAUUUUCACAGAUUCAAAUUAAUUAUGUAUUUGUUUAUUAUUUGCAAAAAGGCCAGAAGCUCAUCUGUAGUUAAAAUGCCCGACAGGAUCUAGGAGAAACUAAGGACAAUUAAAAUAUAUAUUUACUUGAAAUAUAUGUUUAAAUUUAAUAAAGUGAAUAACAUUUACCAACCUUCUCCAUGUUGUUUGCACUUUGAACUGAUUUCCAAUUCAUCAUCACAAAGAAUAAUGGUUUAUUUGCCCAGGGAAAACAGGGUCUCAAUAAUGUAAUGGAUAUAGUGUUGCAUUUCUGUAGGAAGAGGUGCCACACAUUUUUAACAAUAAAAAGAAGCCUCACUUGUUAAUGCAGAACUUUACUGUACAUUUCCAAACAAAAUGAAGUGUAAAGACCCCACCCCAACCCUGAUCUAAUACUUUGCAUUCGCAUAAAUUCAUUUCUCCCUGCCUUUGGCCAGCCGGGCUGCUUACAUAGCAUGUGAGUUGCUUCUAUUAAAUGCUAUUGAGCAAAUCACAUCCUCCAUGCUUAUCAAAUGACAGGCAGUGGAAUUUGGUAAUCAUAGGAAAACAACUUCUAGUUGGGCUUAUGAAACGAGGAGAGCCCUAGAUUGCAUUUGACUUUCAAAUGUUGAAAUAGAGCUGAGAACCAUGCUCUUUCUCAGAGAAGGUCUGGCCUUUCCUCACCAAGCCUAAUAAAUGCCCAAGGGAAAGAAAUAAUAAGCCCUCCCAUUAUUGUCAUGGGAAAACUAAAGUAGCAGGCUAGACCUACAGGCUACAUGAAUGCUACUCACUGUAGAUGUUGUUAGUUUUUAUUUAUUUUUUUAAUGUCUAUUGGGAGAGGGGGAGACACUUAGGUGGCGCCAUGAAAACGGCUUAAUUAGCUUAUCAGUAGCUCUGUUAAGACUUUCCACCACCUGACCCUACAUAAUAGCUGAGGCGCACACAUCAUGCUUUCUCUUUCAUGUGUGCAAGAUGCACAAAGACUUUAAAACCACAGAUUUUGUGAUGCUGUCUUAAUUUUCAAACAGUAUUUUGUAGGAUCUUCAAACAGCUAGAAUAAGCAAAGAAAAAUAUUUUUUUAAUUGUGUAAGUUUUAUAUUUCACGGUUGUCAAGGCAAACAUUAUGAAAAGCUGAUGAUGAAGUGUCAUGUUUCUUGUAUUAUAAAUGUCCAUCCACCCCCACUAUUUUAGUAGAAGGUACAAAUUUAGAGCAACAUUUUAUAGGAGAUAAGGCAGUUUGUCCAGAAAUGUGUCAGCCACUUCACUGGCCUCUCACACAAUGUUCCAAAAGAAUAUAAUAGGAAAAUGUAUGUUUAUGUGAAAAUAUAAAACUCAAAUGAACACCAAGGAGAAUUUUAAUAAUUGAAGAAAAUUACACUGAGAGCCAAACUUGUCUGCUGUUUCAUACAAAGGUUCCCUAUUGGCUUUAAUUGCCUGCAUCAUCACCAUUUCUGCAUGCCACUUAUUAUCCUCCAUCAAAAAUCAAGAAACUUUUCAACGUCUAUACGAUUACAGAGAAAUAAAAUCACCCACCCCCUUCUUUGAGACAGGGUCUCCCGUCUGUCAUGAAACUCAGUAUAUAUUCAAGGCUGGCUUUGAACUCAGAGUGAACUGCAUGAAGUUAGUAUGCCACUAAGUCCAGAAAAAUCAAAAAUUUAAAGCUCUCUAUUAAAUGUUAUCUGAGCCAAUAACAAACCAUUCUAAAUCUCUUUAAAAUUCAGCUUUUAAUCAUAUAAGUCAAUGAAAAACACUAGUUGGAAAUUUAUAACUAUUAAGCAUAAAUAAAUGAAUAUAAUACAAAAGCAUUCCAAAGACUUUUCUCCACCAGUACUGAACCAAACGAACACAUUUUCAGUCAGUUCCCAACCACCACUGUGUAAAACUGUAUUGCAUUUUUAAGCAUUAAUGUAGCUAAUUUUCUCCAUGCAUACGGCCCAGUGCAAUGCGUUGCCUUUCAAAAGCUGAGCUUAAAAAUCAUAUGAUUAAAAAUGAAUUUAACCAGAUAAUUAUAAUUUCCUCUGUAAAUAUAUAUCUCAUACACACACACAGAAUUUCUCAUAGUUAACAUAUAUACCUAUGUUUAAGGAUACAUGCAUGUAUAUUCAGUUUUACACUUCCUCUAUUUUUAUUUUUAAAUUUAUUUUUCACAGUUUUAAUUAAAAUAAAAUUACACCACUUACACCAUCCCUUUCCUUCUUCCCAUCACUGACUUGCCUUUUCCAAUCUCAAAUUGAUGCUCUUAUAUCUCCUCUUUAUAUUUGAGUUCCAUCAAUUCUACGGUAAUUACAUAAUUCCUUUCUCUUAAUUGAAAUCUCCAUCAUUUACUGAGAAGAACAUGGAUCCAAUGUGUCCAUAGUUCUUCAGAUUUAAAUUGGAAGUUAGGGUUUUUUUUUAUUAAAAUACAGUAAUAUGUGUUCAAUUAAAAACUCCUUUGGCCACACACUAUUUUUUUUACAGUUCAUUUCUGUGGAAUAGAUGGAAUAUUAAAUGCUCAUAUGAAUUUCAAUGGGAAUUAUUCUCUAAAGUGAACAUAAUGGAAUUUGGAAAUAAGCCAUAUUUAAUAACUGACUGUAUAAUUAAGUUUUUAUGUGAGGAUGUACCUCAUGUUAAAAUACCUGAAUUUAAGCACUUAUAAAUAUCUUCUGCAUGAUAAUUUCUAAAAAAUUAGAUUAAAUGAAUUGUCAGUCAAAUUUUUGUAAAAUUAAUGAUCCUGAAAUGUAUUUUCUAAAGGAAAGUUAUGACACCAGUUUUACCAGAAUGCAAAAUUUUUUGAGACUUGGUGGCUAAUCACAUAUUUGGAUAUUUGUAAAUAGGCUUGUCGCAAUACACAGUACAUUGGAGAGAAAGGAGUAAAAGUUGUAUCCUUUAGCUGAAAAUGCAGUCUACCUUUUGUGUUCUCCAUCCUCAAGGAGAGGAAGAGCAGAAUGUCACUUUGUUUGCUGUAAGCAACUGACAGGAGAAAGCUGGGAAUCAUGAUUGAUCUAAUGGCCAUUGGUUCAUUAUAAAAAUGGUCUCUAGGAACUAAGUCUCUCUAGACUCUCACAUUCAUCAGGCGUCUUGUGACGUCGUAACAUUGGCGGUGACUAACAGCUUGAGGCCUUUUUCUGUUUCAUGGUCUGAUUGUGACGUCAUAACAUUGGCGGUGAUUAACAGCUUGAAGCCUUUUUCCGUUUCAUGGUCUGAUUGUUCUACUGACAAGAAUACUUUCAGUGUAUCAGAAGCUCAGAUGACAGGGAUUUUGUAAUGAUUCCUGGCUAAAUACCAUAACUGGACUUAAAUUUCUCCACUUCCUACUCUUCUGCAGAGCUGGCAAAUAUAAUAUGCUGAUCACCAUAUUGCUGUAUUACUCAUCAGAGCAAGGGAAAUGACAUAUUUCGUCUACUAUUAUUUGAGAUAAAAUUAAACUGUAAUGAUGUGUGAUUCAUGGAUGUAAUAAUUCAUUAAACAAAUAUUUAUUUAGCAAUUUGCAAGGAAUUAUAUAUGGCUAAGAGAAGGAAACUUUUGCUUUGUUAAAUAUUCAGUAAAUAAAGAAAACCUCUAUUCAGACACAGCCAUCUUGGAAAGAUACAAGCAGUAUAUUAGUCUUGUAGAGGCUGUGUUUAACAUUAGAAGUCUGCCGAUGAGCCAUUCUUGUAUUUUACAUCGUAGGGGAAAUAUAUCAUAAUUUGCUCUCUUCAGUGAGGACAUGACAGCUUGUGUCUUCCUCAGUCAGACAGUCUGCAGCAUCUCCAUUACUAAUGGUAGCUGAAGAAUUUCUAGUGCCUGGUGUAUGUGACUACAGAAUUACAUCUCAAGUCUGUUUGAUUUCAUCAAGUAGGAAAACAAUACCUGCAACUACUGGAGGACAGUCUGUGGGUGAAGCUCACUUUGCCAUCGUAAGGGAAGAUAGAUGGAGUAUCUCUUUCCAGUAUACAUUUUUCUAUAUGAUCACUAUUGAAUGUUUUCAGGUAUAGAGAGAGGAAGAUCAGAGGGAACAAAAAGACAGGAAGAAGAGACAAGCAUGAUAAUAAUUUUUCUAUAUGAUCACUAUUGGAUGUUUUCAGGUAUAGAGAGAGGAAGAUCAGAGGGAACAAAAAGACAGGAAGAAGAGACAAGCAUGAUAAUAAUUUUUCUAUAUGAUCACUAUUGGAUGUUUUCAGGUAUAGAGAGAGGAAGAUCAGAGGGAACAAAAAGACAGGAAGAAGAGACAAGCAUGAUAAUAAUUUUUCUAUAUGAUCACUAUUGGAUGUUUUCAGGUAUAGAGAGAGGAAGAUCAGAGGGAACAAAAAGACAGGAAGAAGAGACAAGCAUGAUAAUAAUUUUUCUAUAUGAUCACUAUUGGAUGUUUUCAGGUAUAGAGAGAGGAAGAUCAGAGGGAACAAAAAGACAGGAAGAAGAGACAAGCAUGAUAAUAAUUUUUCUAUAUGAUCACUAUUGGAUGUUUUCAGGUAUAGAGAGAGGAAGAUCAGAGGGAACAAAAAGACAGGAAGAAGAGACAAGCAUGAUCCACAGGCACCACAGGCAGCAGCAUUCCAGCAGAUAUGCGAAAACAAAAAUUGAGAGCUUAAGGAAUACGUCCCAUUCAAGUGAAACCAGAAGAAAGGAAAUUAUGAAUUUGCAAAACAUUAUUUUUUGCAGUUCCAGAGAUAAAUAUUCUUUUAAAUACCGUUAAUAUAAAGAUAAUAGACAUGCUUUUUUUUGGGAAAAGUGAUUAUUUGUAUAACUCUCUUUAGGCUAUAAUUGCCUGGUAACAAGCCUAAACCGCCUUAUCUUUGCACAGGUCUGGCCCAGACGCAGUGCUUUCUGUCCCUCUCAGAAUUUAAGGGGCUAAGUACAUGUAACACACUCAAUGAUUUCUAUUCUUGUGGUGGUUGUUUGUUUAAAUUUAUGUUUAUUGAAAUUCUUCAUAUAAUAUUUUCUCAAAAUAUUGCUUUGUAGGGGGAGUUUUUACAUUAUUGGUGCUUUGCUUGUAUAAUGUUAUUUCUGAUUUUGUGCUCUUUUGAUGUGUGUAUAUGUGUAAGUAUGUGGUUCUUUGGUUUUUCUUUCUUUCCUUCUGUUCUUUUAUUUUUAAUAUACCUGUUUGUUUUCUAAAGCAAGAAAUACAGUAGAGUUGUGUUGGGCGGGGUAAUCCAGGAAGAAAUGAGAGAGAAAAAAACAGUUAUUUCUGACAAACUCUCAAUAGAUGGAAUUAUAGGAAUCUUUAACUUGUGGUUUGGAAAAAUAAAAUUAUUUGAGGACAGAAACCUAAUGAGAUAAUUUGGGAAUUGAAGGUUUUUUCAUAAUUUUCAUAAUUUCCUUGCAAAAUUACUGUUUAUAAAAACACAAAGAUUGAACACUGUGUUUAUAGAACAAGGGUAGUUUGUGAGAUAAAACUAAAGGUGAAGUCAGGCUUAACACAGAAAGUAGAUGCAAGGCAGAGAGAGCUAAGGAGGACUCUGGACAGAGGAUCUCAUUCCUUGACCAUGGUUAUAUUUUGGAGUAAAGGAAGCCAGUGCUUAACUUUUUGGCUGAGUGGACAUAAAGACUGUGCUGUGAAUUGCUGGUUUAACUCCUAACAGUACACACAGGAAUCCAUCUGUGAAUUGUGCGCAGAGCUCAUCUAGCAACUCUUUAAAGGGAAACAGCGGCCUCAGGAGACCCUGAAAGAUAAUCAGAUUUUUAAUUAAAAGUAGAUAUGAAAAAUGGUGAUAGAGGGAAUUGUAAACUGAAGGGAAAUUUGCUUUUUGUUAGCACUAACUACAGAUAUAUCUCAGCUCUGAACAGAACAGAAGUGCAGAAUACAUCCCGUUGUUUAAUCUUACACAGGUACAAGAAACACUAGAAAGAAGUCAAUAGCUACUUGACAUAGUCAAUGAUAUUCUCAAAAUCACUUAUUUCUGAGAAGAUAUUUUAAGGAAAAAUGCUAGCUAGCUCUGCAAAUACAUAAGCUUUUACUGUACCUUUCAUAAAAAAAAAAAUUUCCUCUUCCCUGUUCUCCUUUUUUCCCUCCUUUCCUCUUCCUCCUUGUCCUCCUCCAUCAAGCCCACUCUAUAAAUUAUCUUUAACCACAAUGCCAAUAGAAAACCUUCUACCUUCUCUGAUUCAACAAAUGGUAUGUAUAAGAAUAAACUGUGUUAAGCCGAUUGUGGAGGUACAUUCUUUUAAUCCCAACAUUUGUUUGAUAAAAGCCUGAUUACAUCAUAAGUUUCUUUCUCACUGUGUUCACUCAAGGAUAUGUUGGGCCUCAACACCACAGGACCCUGAACCUGAUUACUAUUCAGACCUGUUUACUCUUCAGCUGAAAGUAGCAUCUGAGGAUGUCACUGGUGACACUGUGCGGUGUGACUGACUACAUUUACAUAGAUUUCCUUCAAAUAAAGUAACUGGAUCUAAGUACUCUAUCAUUUCUUUUCCCAUUCAUUCUUCUAGAAUUAAAGUUUCUUUGUCGCUCUUUGUGUGUAAAAUGCAUGUUGUAAUGUUUAUUUCUUUGGAAACCAUAUGAUUACAUCUACUGCUAUCCUUGUACUAAGUAUAGCGCAGUUAAUUUAAGCAAAUUGUGGUUCCUAUCUACUAUCUAUCUAUCAUCUAUCUUUCUACUAUCUACCUAUCUAUGUACCUAGCAUCUAUUUGUCUAUUAUCUAUUUAUCAUCUAUCACUGAUCAUCUAUUUGCCUAUAUAUAGUUAUUUGUCUCUAUCUAUCAUCUAUCUAUCUAUCUAUCUAUCUAUCUAUCUAUCAAUCUAUCUAUCUAUCAUCUAUCUAAUCUAUCUAUCAUCUAUCUGUGAUGUUUUUCUUAAGGAAGUGUCUAGAAGUAUCAGCAUCAUCUGAGAGCUUGUUGGAAAGAGAAAGCUUAGAGCAGACCAUAUCAACUUAAAAAGUCUACAUUUAUCAAGAUACUCUGUAACUAUAAUCUGUAUUCACUGUAGCAUAGUUAUUGUGAAUUGUGAUGUAUUAUAUCUGGCUGAACUGUUUCAAUGGAAAGUAACAAAGAUAAAUCACAGUGAAUAUGCCCAAUACUUUUUUUUUGCCAGUAAGCACUGAAAAACAAACUUGUCUCCAUGUCAUCACCUUUGUAUAUCAGGCACCACCAGGUGCUUAUCUGUUUGUUGAAACAUACGAUUUAAUACUUACAGGGUAUAAAUACAAUCAAAUAGUGCCCUCUAAAAAUUAUAACAUUGCCACUGAUGUCAUUAAAUUUUAUUGGUUAUUUUAUUUGUUUACAUUUCAAAUAUUAUCCCCCUUCCCGGUUUCCUCUCAGAAAACUCCCUAUCCCAUCUUCCCUCCCAACUGCUUCUGUGAGGGUGCUUCCCCCACCCACCUACCCACUCCUGCCUCACCAUCCUAACAUUUCCCCACCCUUGGGCAUCAAGCUUUCACAGGACCAAGGGCCUCCCCUCCCAUUGAUGCCAGAUAAGGCCAUCCUCUGUAACAUAUGCAGCUGGAGCCAUGGGUCCCUCUAUGUGUAUUCUUUGGUUAAUGGUUUAGUCCCUGGGAGCUCUGGGGGGUGUGGUUGGUUGGUUGAUAUUGGUGUUCUCCCUAUGGGGUUGCAAACCCCUUCAGCUCAUUCAGUCCUUCCUCUAACUCCUCCAUUGUGCUCCCCAUGCUCAGUCCCAUGGGUGGAAGAGCCUCUCAGGAGACAUCCAUAUCAGGCUCCUAUCAGCAAGCACUUCUUGGCAUGAGUAAGAGUGACUGAGUUUGGUGGCUGCAUAUGGGAUGGAUCCCUAAGUAGGACAGUCUCUGGAUGGCCUUUCCUUCCGUCUUUGCUCCACUCUUUGUCCCUGUAUUUUCUUUAGACAGGAGCAUUUCUGAGUUAAAACUUUGAGAAGGGUGGUUGACCCCAUCCCUCAAAUGGGGGCUGUGCCUAACCUCUGGAUAUGGUCUCUAACAGGUUAUCUCUUCCCUUCACUGAUGGGAUUAUUAAAAGGGACAUUGUUUUACUACUUUUAUAUGAGUUGGAAUUCUGAGUUAUAAUUCAAAGUUUGUGCUUGUCCUGGAUUUUUUUCAUUGAUUGUAUUUUUUGGUGUGGUGGAAGUUACUUUUCAUUUAUUUAUCCUCUCAUCCUCUCAUAUGUUAUAUCCCAACCACAGUUUCCUCCUCUUCCUUCCUCCCCCUAAUCCCCCACCUACUCCUCCCUACUCAUCCACUCUCUUCCUUCAGAAAAGGGCAAGACUCUCAGGGAUAUUAGCAAACAUGGCAUAUCAAGUUGCAAUUACAUUAGGCCCCUCCCCUCAUAGUAAGGCUGGCAGGAGGAGGAUAAAGGUCCCAAAAGCAGGCAAAAGUGUCAGGAUUCCUUGAACUCUACCUAAUGUUAAGCACCGGAUCCCUGUAUCUUUUUCCAUCAGCUGCUGGAUGUAGCCUCUAUGAUGACAACUGGACUAUGUACCAAGCUUUGAAUACAGCAUACAGUGUCAGGAUGAAGUUUCCACACAACUUAUAUGUCACCUUUACCACUGAUUGCUAACAGAAUGGAUUGUAGGUGAAAGGUUUUGUGGCUGGGUUGGUGUCCCAAACUCUUCACUAGGAAUCUUGCUUCGUUAUAGGAGAAAACAGAGGUUUUGUUGUUGUUGCUGCUGUUUUUUUUUUAAUUAUUGAAUAAACAUUUAUACACAGAUGUGAACAUACUGAAAAUUACAUUUAGAAGAAAUAUAUAAUCUGGUUUUUUGUUCUUCAAUAUCAUGGGUAAGUGAGACAGAAUUAGAAAUUUGCUGCAAAGUUAUUUUCACAGUUUUUUAUUGUGCCUGAAAGUAUUUAUCUAUCUAUCUAAAUCCAUAACAGGGUCAAAAAUUCAGGAAUUGGCCACAUUAAGGAUGUAAAAACUCAUUAGUUCAUAAAUUGACCAGAUUCCACAGGAAGCAGUCAGAGAGAAAUCCUCUGUCUUACCAGUAUGAACUGUUGCAGGUAUUUCUGUUAAGUCUUAAUGGAUAUAGUUAUAAUAGUUGAAAAUGACUUGAUGAUUUAUUAUUUAUUUCAGUUUAUAUUUUCAUAAUAAGCCGUUAGUGUACUAGAGACAGGCAGACAUCUACCCUCUGUGUUACUGUAUCUACUUCUUUAUCAACAACCCAAGUUAUAACUUUUGCCAUAUUCCAUCUGGGCAGCUCUUACCUCCAAUUCACCAGACCCCAAAGCCAUGUUUUUAUCAUUCACUUACCCUGUGGUCCUCCUCUGACCCAAAUCCUGGGAACCAACACUCUACCUAUCUCACUUCAGCCUUUCUGGGGGGCAAGUUACAUAGUGUCACUUGGGUCAUGUGAGAAUCUCCUCUUCCCUGGGUGCAACCAGGAUCAGUAUUUAGCAUUACAAUAUAGAGCAACAGACCAAACCUCAACAAUCCCCCCUUUUUUGUCUAAAUACAAAGGCUCCUUUUCGAUAUAAUAAUAAACAACAGACAAUAGAAACACUCAUGAAACAAUUAUUAAAAUUAUUAGGUAUGAGCUAAGUUGGUUUGUCCAGUCUGUUUGUAUUUGGAAAUCUAGGUGAACGUGUUUCAUUAUCUAUCCCAUCUUGGCGAGUUUAGAGUUCAGCAUUUAAAUAACUUUAUAUCCUAAUUUUUAUCCUAAUUUGAAAUAUUAAAGUAAAAUUAUCUUCUUAGAUCUAAAACAUCUUCCUAAAUGCUAAACAACCUAAAUUUAAUUGUGAGACUGUAACUAUUUAGUCUUCAAUCCUAUCAGAGAUUUGAGAAGGAAUAUAUCCUUUCAAUGGCAUGAAUGGAAAUUUAAAUUGUAGUUUGAUUAUAUGAUCAACAAAAGAUUAUGUAUCUAUAUUUUAGGAUUAUGGUUGGUCCAGGUUUUCUGAGCCUGGGCUUAUGGUCAAUGUUAAGGUUCAUCUUUGCUGCUACUAACAGGAUGUGCCCAUUUGCAAGUAAUCUGAUUGUAGGCCCAUUUCUUUUCAGAACAAGACAGUGUACAUCAAAUUAAAGCAGAGUUCUUAAUUCUUGGUAUCCAUUAUAUUUCAGAAUUUUCAGAGCAGAAAUUCAAUGUCACAUAAAUUCUAAUGAUAACAGUAGAAGCAGAAUAGUUUUAUUUCUUAGACUAGUUAAAAUGGAACCUCUCAAAUACAGUCUUCCAAAAGUCAUCUGUUAGUUUCAAAUAAAAAUGAAGUUCAGCACUGAGUUUGCAAUCACCUGAGUCAAGAGAGGAAGCUGAGUUAUAAGUGAAUCUUUCAUCUUUAAUGUAUGUGUGUAUAGCAUGGCACAUGUGUAGUAUGCAAAGGGCACUUAAGGGACUUCCUACUCUCCUUCCACGUAUGACACCAGGAGAUUGAAUUUGGCUUGCCAUCCUUGGCAGUGAGUACCAAUACCUGCUAUGACAUCCUUUUGCCCCAUGAAUCUAUUUCAGAGUGAACACUGGAGAUAGUUUCAUAGAAAACAGUCACGAACACUCAGUAGGUAGCAGCCUCCUGAUACACACUACAAAUAUUUUGGAGAUGUCUUCUCCUACCAUAUGAGUCUGUUUAUUUAGGUUAAGGAAGGAAAUGGUUCACCCUUUGUAAAAAUAUUGGGGUUUUGUUUUAUUUGAAUUAUUUUUUACAAAUAUAAAUACAGCAAUUCUAACCCAAUUUUUUUCCAGAAAAAUAUAACAAUCUAUAAGAUUUAUAUCACAUUAUGAAUUAGUAGGGUUUAGAAUGUAAUGGUUUAACUGUAGCAGACUAAGAGUAGAGGGAACCUCCCAAGGAAAGAGCACUGAUGAAACCUGCGAGCUGAGAGGAGUCUCAGUAAAGUGCUGGCAAGUGACUUUCCCUUUAAUAAUGGGACCAAGAGAAUAAUAAUUAUCAGGUUGUUCUGGUGAACUUUGUGCUUUGGGUACUAACUGAAGAGUUUAGGUAAGUGUAGAAAAUAACAUCCAAAUUAGAAAGAAAAAUUAAAACUAUAUAUGUUGGCAGAUGAUUUAUAUACUAAAUCCCAGAAAAAGAAUCGUGACUUUUAAAGUAAAAACACUAGCUUCUUGUGCAUAUGUAUAUGUGCAUCUGUGUGUGUAUAUGUGUUUUUUUCUCUAUGUGUGUGUGUGUGUGUUUGUCUGUGUAUGUGUGUGUGACUGUGUUGUGAAGCUGUGAAGAAGUGCAAGGCCUUAAGCAUGCUAGGCUAGUGUACAUUCGCUGAAUUGUUUUACCAGCCCUUAUACUAACUUAUGAGAGCAGAAAUGAAGGUGCUAAGAAACCACUUGCAGAAGUUUAGUCUGUCUGAGAUUUUCUUACACAUAUCUAGCAGAAUGUUGAAUGGCCAACAGCAGCUUGUCGUUGAACCUCAAAGUAUGAAAUGUGUUGCUUUGCAUCUGCCUUCUCUGUUGUACAUGGGAACUCUCUGUUCUUUUGACCUUGAUCCUUGAGUGCCAUUCUUUCCAAUCAUUCCCAGAAAGCAGUCCAAUUUCUAGGACUGAUACAUUUAGAAAAUACAAAAACAAAAAAACAAAAAAAAAAAAAAUCUGGCCUAGAAACUAAGAAUCUGAGAGUAACUGAACAAGAAAAGUAAAUACAGCAUUCCGAUAAGAUCCCUGUUUUGUAAAAGAAAUACACAGGCUGUUUCCUAGCCAAGGACAAGACUGCUGCUUAAGUGUUUCACAACAGUUAACCCCUUUAUUGCUGAAACAUUCUCUACUGCUCAAAAUGGGUAUUAUAAAUUUGCUGUGAUCUACCUAGGCUUCAGGUCCAAAAUGAUAGAUUAAAUUGCCUAUUGUUUUAAGUGUCAUUUAAAAUUAAAUUAUUCUUCAAAUGGGAAAUUAUCAGAAAAAAAUAAUUCACAAGAAGAGUCAAACACAUAAUUUGAGAUGAACUUUUUCUUUUCCAACAUUGAAACAGAAGUCGAUUCCUUGAUUUUCAUAUUCAAAACCUUAAUUAUUUCAACAGUUCUGUGCAUAAGAGAGAACUUAGCAAGAAGUUGCCACUUAGUUAUUGCUAAUAUUGCAUCAGGUAUAGUGUGAAUAUGUACUGUUUUAAUUUGUUGCAUGCAUUAUGGUUUUGGCUAAGUAAUAUUUAUUUGUUGUGGUGGCUGUUUUAUGCAUAGUAGAAUAACUAUUGUGAUACCUGGCUUCUGGCUGAUGGACACCAGCACUGUUUCUCCCUAUUCUGAUGUCAGAACACCUCGUGGGGCAUAUCUUUGGACAGCUGAGAAUUUUCCAAUGUUACCUCAUGUUUUUUAAAAGGUUUACUUAUAGUUUCACAUAUAUAUUGAUAAAAUACAAAGCCCAGGGAGGCCACGUUUUUUACUCAGACACUUAUCUGAUGCAUGAAGUUGUCAUGCUUGCCUUGAAGAAUAGAUGCACCAUCUUGACCAACAAAAUCUCCUGUUUUAUUCCCCUCCCUCCCCCCUCUCUGUCUCUGUCUCUCUCUCUCUCUGUCUGUCUCUUGUCUCUCUCUGUCUCCAUCUCUGUCUCUCUCUGUGUGUCUCUCUCUUGUCUCUCUGUGUCUCUCUCUCUGUGUCUCCUGUCUCUCUCUGUGUCUCCUGUCUCUGUCUCUCUCUCUGUCUCUCUCUCUCUCUCUCUCUCUCUCUCUCUCUCUCUUUCUCUCUCUCUCUCUCUCUGAUAGAAGUUCUUACUAUGUAUCCCUGACUAGCCAGAAACUCACCACAAAGACCAAUCUGGCUUCAGCAUUUCAAAAUCCACCACCUCUGCAUCUUGUGUGCUGGGAUUAAAGGCAUGUACAACCAUGUUUGGCUAUAUUCUUCCUUUUGAUGAAGUAAUGGAGAUGGUAAGAAAAAAGACACUAGACUUUAAAGAAAGCCAGUGAGCACUGCUCUGCUCCUAGUUCAGAAAGUGCUAGAGGCAUCUUGUUGACCUCAUAGUAUAGUCCUUGUCUGUCAUGUACCCUGUUAAUUUCCUGUUGUGUUGUAGUAAACUUGUGCAUCAGAGUGGCUCUGCUGAUUGAUUUUGGGAAGAGACCUCACAAUAAUGUCCCUGAAUUCCUGUCCUAUUAAUGUAAAUAUGAGCUGAUAAAGUUCUGGAGAUGUUCUGUAUGUCUACAAAUACCACUUUGGAUCUGAUGAUCUGUGGCACCAUGUGCGAAGUACAUACAAUAUGGGCCAUGGUCACCUGUAAAUAUCAGAUUAUCAGAUUUUAAAUCUGAUUUAAGCCUAGAGUUUUGACUAAUUUUAGUUUUAUAUACCAGUGUUUCUUUCCCAUAAGAGGUUACUGAACAUUUUCUCAUCAAACACUUAAAAUCGGUGGAAGGCAAAAAAAAAAACAUUUCUUAUCAGCACUGCUUUCCUGCAAGUCAUUUGUGUGUUUCAAUAAAUCCAACUUUUACCUGUUGAAUUCUGGAGAAAUCAUAAGCCCACAGUUUAGUCUGCUACUACAAACAUGAAUAAGACACUAUAGAAAUUAUUUACUAAUUUCUUUAAGUAUUCACUUGUUCAGUUAUUAUCAAUUCCUGGCCAUUCACUAGAUUUCUUUCAAAGUUCUAGGUGGAAGUGAACUAUUGCAUUUUCUAUAAAAAUGAUCUUGGGAGAUAUAAAAGUCAGUGUCUUCACGCAAUGAAUUGCUCUCAAAUGUGAUGUCGCACACUGUCUAGCUGCCUGGCUAUUCACCAACUGCUUAAUCUCUUCCUGCUUUUUCUUUAAACAUACAAAUACAUAACCUCAUACACAUAUAAAUGGGACACUACUCUUUCACAGUUAAUGAUCUUUAUCCAUGAUCUUCUGGCAGAGACUAUAUGAACUUUUAAGGUAUGACUUAUCAGUGAAAUUCACUUGCCAACUGGUAUAUUUUUAAUAUCUUUUUUUUAAAAAGCAUACUUUAAUUUUCUCUUUCUAUGAAAUAUGAUGACUAGGUAGAAUAUCUUUCUAAAUACUGUGACAUCACUACUUAUGGAGUUUAACUCACUUAUCUGUAAUUAGUCCUAGAAUUUCACUGAAGAAUGGCACAGGGCUUGUGGCAGAAAGAGAUAGGCCAUGCUUCUCUUGGCUUUUUUUAUGAGCAGCCUUGUGAAUUGUGAUUUUUUUUAUCCUACUCAAAAUGUGUCUAUUAUAUAAUUACAUAUAGUCUUUGCUUUAUAUCUUUUAUGGGGAUCAAUUCAGGUUAGCAUGGAGUCUCUGUCUCUGUCUCUCUCUGUCUCUCUCUGUCUCUGUCUCUCUCUCUGUCUCUGUCUCUGAUGGUUACUGAUUCCUUACUCCUAGUUUACCUCCUUUGUCCUCUCCCACAGCUGUCCUUUACUGCCCAUAAUGCACCAAAACUAUAAGUAGGUAGCCAUUACUCAAUAGUCAUAUGUUUUUCAUUAUUUAUCUCAAAUCACUACCUACUGGCUCCUCUAUAUCUCAGGAAUACUUUCAUCUUGACCUGGUCAGAUGACCCUCUGUAAGGUGUAAUAGUCUGGCUUUGCCAUCAGGUUCUUCAUUUUGUUAUUUGUGUUCUGACAUUGAAUCUGGUUUUAGGUACUAAAGGUCUUUCUCUGUGAACGCACAUUUAACAGAAACUUCAACUCUGCCUUGGUUCUCAAAACACAAAGAAGAGAAGCUCACCUUUGUAUGGCAGGCUAUGUGACUACACCUAUUUGUCCAGGUGAUGGUCCGUGCUUUCUUGGAUCUCUGCCCACUGUGUUUCUCUCUUCUCAGCCUUCUCAACAAAUUACUCCACAGGGUUGUGCCUGCCAUGACCCAAAUCCAACCCGCCAUUCUUCUGCCCCAUAAACUGUUAAACCAUCUUACAGUCAGCUCUGUGGGCAGCAUUCAUAUCAGUAACAUGCUGACUGUAAACUGUGCAGUAAACUGAGUGUUGAUGGCAAACAAGAAAUAGUCUGGAAGUUGAAUCUCCUAAACGUAGUACAUAAAAUUGAAAUUGAAAUUUUGUGAUAUUUAAUUUCUACAAAAGUCAUGCUUAUCAUAUUACUCUUAAAUAACACCAUGUUUUAUUUUUAUUACAGAAAUAAUAAAUUUAUAAGACUAGUGUUUAGUUCUCAUUUUAAAUUUGGUCCUUGGUCAAUUAUUACAUCUAAGGCUACUCUUUGUUGAUUUUAUGUACUACUGAAUAUGGAAAGGAACCAAUAAGGAAGAUUACAGACUUUAACUCAUACAGCUCCCAAGUAUCUGCAGGGAGACAGUGUAUGUCUCUGUUAGUUCUUUUUCCUUUAUAAACCGUGAUAACUGAGGCCUGCUGUGAAAACUGUUUUACUAACCACACAGGACGGUGCAAUGUGAAGCAUAAGUUGCUGUUUUCUUCUGGAAGAUUCCAUCUUCAUGGGUCAGCUUCUCUUUAAAGACAAUGUCAAGUGUGAAAAUAAGGUGGAAGCUCUGUUGAACUAUGAUACAGGAGAUUAAAAAAGAUUGGACUGAAGAAGAGAUUUGGAGACAAAUUGAAUGCUAGUCUCUUUCACAAUGCAUGGUUUGGAGCAUGUUUCUAGAAUCAUCUUAGAGACAUUUGUUUUAAACUAGUUUUUCAUACUCAUUUUAAAAUAAGAAAUCUGUGAUAGCACAAAGAUGUCUGAUAUGUCUAACUUGGUAGCUCUGAGACCCAAAUUUGUGUAUUGGAUGUAGCGAAAGCUUAAGAGUAUACUUUUUCCUCUUUUUUAUUAGAUAUUUUCUAUAUUUACAUAUCAAAUGUUAUCCCCUUUCCUGGUUCCAUUUCGAAAACCCCCUAUCUUCCUCCCCCCCCCAGCCCUCCACUCAACAACGUAACCACUCCUGUUUCCUGGCAUUAGCAUUCCCCUAUACUGGGGCACAGAACCUUCACAGGACCAAGUGCCUCUCCUACCAUUGAUGACUGACUAGACCAUCCUCUGCUGCAUAUGCAGCUAGAGUCAUGAGACCUACCAUGUGUUUUCUUUGGAAGGUGGAUUGGACCCAGGAUGCUCUGGGAGUAUUGGUUAGUUCAUAUUGUUCCACGUACGGGGCUGCAAACCCCUUCAGCUUCUUGAGUACCUUCUCUAUCUCCUUCAUUGUGGACCCUAUGCUCAGUCCAAUGUAUGGCUGUGAGCAUCCACUUCUGCAUUUGUCAGGCACUGGCAGAGCCUCACAGGAGACAGCUAUAUCAGGAUCCUGUCAGCAAGCUCUUGUUGCCAUCUGCAAUAGUGUCUGGGUUUGGUGGUUGUAUAUGGAAUGGAUCCCCAGGUGGGGCAGUCUCUGGAUGGUCAUUCUUUCAGUCUCUGCUACACACUUUGUCUCUGUAACUCCUUACAUAGGUAUUUUGUUCCCCCUUUUAAGAAGGAUCAAAGUAUCUACACUUUGGUCUUCCUUUUUGAGUUUCAUGUGUUUUGCAAAUUUUAUCUUGGGUAUUCUGAACUUCUGGGUUAAUAUCCACUUAUUAGUGAGUGCAUAUCAUGUGUGUCCUUUUGUGAUCGGGUUACCUCACUCAGGAUGAUAUCCUCCAGAUUCAUCCAUUUACCUAAGAAUUUCAUAAAAUCAUUAUUUUUAAUAGCUGCAUAUUAUUCCUUUGUGUAAAUGUACCACAUUUUCUCUACCCAUUCCUCUGAGGAGGGGCAUUUCCGUUGUUUCCAGCUUCUGGAUAUCAUAAAUAUGGCUGCUCUGAAUAUAGUGAAGCAUGUGCCCUUAUUACAUAUUGGAGCAUCUUGUGGGUAUAUGCCCAGGAGUGGUAGUGCUGUAUCCUCCUGUAGUACUAUGUCCAAUUUUCUGAGGAACUGCCCAACUGACUCCCAGAGUGGUUAUACCAGUUUGCAAUACCUUCAGCAAUGGAAGAGUGUUCCUCUGAAGAUUUUUUUCUUAAUGAGAGAAUUAAACAUGAAGGGCAAAGGAAAUCUGUAGUCUUUUUUCUUUUUACGAAGUACCUCUCAUCCUAGAGUUUGAUAUUGUUAGAUUGUCUUUUCAUGCCUAAAUUAAUUUGUUAGUUGUAUUUAUAGUUAUAAGUAUGAAAAAAUGUACUUUUACUAGGAUCUCAGAGGUGGUCCAUCAACAUGUUUAUAAAGGACUUGUUUUAGUGUCCUAAAAUGAAAGUCAUAGGCAAGAUAAUCUAGCUAGAAUAAUUGCCAUAGAUCAUACAACAGAACUUAAAAAUUAAUAUAGUUCUAUAGUAAUGAUAUAAAUGAUAAUGAGAAGAAUGCUAUUAUUAGAAAGUUCUAUGUAUCACUGUAAGCAAAUGCUCAUGUGUGUGGGUAUUGGGAAGACUAAUGAUGUAGUCAGAUGCCUAUGUCUAAAUAUAGAAGCCUCAAGGCUCUGAAGACACAUUUCUACACUAACACAGGUGGGCUUGUUGAUGACUCACAUCAUGAGAGCUGCUAUGUUGAUGACAUAGUACUUUGGAAAUUGUGAAGACACUCUUGGUAAAUUUUUAAAUCAAAAAAUCUUUAAGCCAGUUCAGAUUUACAUAAUAGUUUUUGUAUUCCUUCAUUUAACCAACAGGAAAAAAUGUGUCUGAAAUACUUGGUGUUCAUUUACUCAGUGUUAUGAUAAAUAUAUUGUUAUUUUGGAUGAGUGUCUAGUGAACCAAUUGAAAGCAUCAUGGAGCCUACUGGACUGCACUGUGCAUUGUAGGAUGUCUAUAACUCCUGAAUUCUGCUCACUGGCUUUCAGUGUAACCCUUUCCCUGUAGAAUCCCAGAUUCUUCGGUUGUUUUAUUUUCUCUUUCAUAUAUACAUGUAAAUAAUUUAAAUUAUUUUUCUGUACAUAUUAAAAAAGAUUUCCUUUAUAAAAUAUUGUUAGUGCUAAUACUAACAUAAAACAAUAACAGCAUUAUAGACAGUGCUUAUUGUUUCCAAAAGGUGGUGUCUGUUCACAUAAAAUCAGAAAUGCUUUGGGGCAGGUUAAUGUUUUCCUUUGUGCAGUAUAACAAUAUUACCUGCUACUGCCAUGAAAAGAAGAAAACAAUUUUAAUGAGAAAUAUUUUUUCAGUCCCAAAUAAUGAAUCUCCACCUCUUCUGCUACAUCCUUCCCUCUACAUAAAUAGUUAGAUGGUAGGUAUAAAUAAUAGAUAAAACAAGUGACAGACAGACAGAUAGACAGAUGAUAGAUAUAUUGAUUGACAGAAAAAAACUGAUAGAUAAAUAGGUAGAAAGAUGAUAAAUAGAUAUAAAGAAAGAUACAUGAUUGAUACAUAUGUGAUAGUUGAUAGAUGGAUGGAUAAGGAAAUAGAUAGAUAGAUAGAUAGAUAGAUAGAUAGAUAGAUAGAUAGAUAGAUGAUAGAUAGAUAGAUAGAUAGAUAGAUAGAUAGAUAGAUAGAACUUUUGCUAAUGGUAAUCGUUUUUCCUUUUAGACUUUGCUUACUUUUAUUCUUGAAGAGGGAAAACUCAUGGCUAACUCACCUUCUUAUGAUAUAAUAAGUGUAUUUAUACAAUGACAGCUGGCACCAGAAUUGUCAAAUAAGGAUCCAAGAAACUUGUGAGAACAUGGUCUAUAAUUUGAUAUAGUCUAUGUCUUUUAAUUUUAUGUUGCUGCCUCAAAAUACACAUUUCCAUAUUUACAAUUGCAUAGCUUUUCUGUACUGAUUAUUUAUAAAUCUGAUCUUAUUCUUUGGCAUGUUUAGAUGAAUAGA